CGUAGGGGAACCGUGCCCCACUAGUCUGGGAUACCACUUGGAACAGGUGCUAAUACCGGAUAAGAAAGCAGAUCGCAUGAUCAGCUUUUAAAAGGCGGCGUAAGCUGUCGCUAUGGGAUGGCCCCGCGGUGCAUUAGCUAGUUGGUAAGGUAAAGGCUUACCAAGGCGAUGAUGCAUAGCCGAGUUGAGAGACUGAUCGGCCACAUUGGGACUGAGACACGGCCCAAACUCCUACGGGAGGCAGCAGCA
RNAcentral lists this ribosomal RNA (249 nucleotides) under uncultured Lactobacillus sp. RNAcentral's name for it is "partial 16S ribosomal RNA". It matches the Rfam family "Bacterial small subunit ribosomal RNA", at positions 116 to 355 of the family's 1533-position model. Lineage: Bacteria; Bacillati; Bacillota; Bacilli; Lactobacillales; Lactobacillaceae. The record is from RNAcentral.